AACGAACGCUGGCGGCAGGCUUAACACAUGCAAGUCGAGCGAAGACUUCGGUCUUAGCGGCGGACGGGUGAGUAACGCGUGGGAACAUACCCUUUGCUACGGAACAGUCCCGGGAAACUGGGUUUAAUACCGUAUACGCCCUUCGGGGGAAAGAUUUAUCGGCAAAGGAUUGGCCCGCGUUGGAUUAGGUAGUUGGUGGGGUAAAGGCCUACCAAGCCGACGAUCCAUAGCUGGUUUGAGAGGAUGAUCAGCCACACUGGGACUGAGACACGGCCCAGGCUCCUACGGGAGGCAGCAGUGGGGAAUCUUAGAAAAUGAACGAAAGUUUGAUCUAGCCUUGUUACGUGGAGGAUGAAGGCUCUUCUGGUCGUAAACACCUUAUCGUAGUUGGGUAGUGUGCAAAACUAUGUUUUGCAUACAAGAAUGCCCUGGUUGGGUAACGAUUUCGUCGAUAGAGAUCCGGAAUCCAAUCUAAGGAUUAUGACGUAUACUACGAGAGUAGCCCUGGCCAAUUCUGUGCCAGCAGCCGCCGUAAGAC
This 538-nucleotide ribosomal RNA is filed under the name uncultured bacterium. RNAcentral describes it as "bacterial SSU rRNA". It matches the Rfam family "Bacterial small subunit ribosomal RNA", at positions 29 to 526 of the family's 1533-position model. The record is from RNAcentral.